UGGGGAAUAUUGGACAAUGGGCGCAAGCCUGAUCCAGCAAUGCCGCGUGAGUGAUGAAGGCCUUAGGGUUGUAAAGCUCUUUCGCCCGCGACGAUGAUGACGGUAGCAGGAGAAGAAGCCCCGGCUAACUUCGUGCCAGCAGCCGCGGUAAUACGAAGGGGGCGAGCGUUGUUCGGAUUUACUGGGCGUAAAGGGCGCGUAGGCGGCCCUCUUUGUCGCGUGUGAAAGCCCCGGGCUCAACCUGGGAAUGGCGCGCGAAACGGGGGGGCUGGAGUUCGGGAGAGGAGCGUGGAAUUCCCAGUGUAGAGGUGAAAUUCGUAGAUAUUGGGAAGAACACCGGUGGCGAAGGCGGCGCUCUGGACCGAGACUGACGCUGAGGCGCGAAAGCGUGGGGAGCAAACAGGAUUAGAUACCCUGGUAGUCCACGCUGUAAACGAUGUGUGCUAGACGUUGGGGAGCCUAGCUCUCCGGUGUCGCCGCAAACGCUUUAAGCACACCGCCUGGGGAGUACGGCCGCAAGG
RNAcentral lists this ribosomal RNA (521 nucleotides) under uncultured bacterium. RNAcentral's name for it is "bacterial SSU rRNA". It matches the Rfam family "Bacterial small subunit ribosomal RNA", at positions 355 to 893 of the family's 1533-position model. The record is from RNAcentral.